UGGGGAAUUUUGGACAAUGGGGGAAACCCUGAUCCAGCCAUCCCGCGUGUGCGAUGAAGGCCUUCGGGUUGUAAAGCACUUUUGGCAGGAAAGAAACGUCAUGGGUUAAUACCCCGUGAAACUGACGGUACCUGCAGAAUAAGCACCGGCUAACUACGUGCCAGCAGCCGCGGUAAUACGUAGGGUGCAAGCGUUAAUCGGAAUUACUGGGCGUAAAGCGUGCGCAGGCGGUUCGGAAAGAAAGAUGUGAAAUCCCAGAGCUCAACUUUGGAACUGCAUUUUUAACUACCGGGCUAGAGUGUGUCAGAGGGAGGUGGAAUUCCGCGUGUAGCAGUGGAAUGCGUAGAUAUGCGGAGGAACACCGAUGGCGAAGGCAGCCUCCUGGGAUAACACUGACGCUCAUGCACGAAAGCGUGGGGAGCAAACAGG
Molecule: ribosomal RNA, 429 nt
Filed under: Acidobacteriota bacterium
Lineage: Bacteria; Pseudomonadati; Acidobacteriota
Description: Acidobacteria bacterium partial 16S ribosomal RNA
Rfam family: Bacterial small subunit ribosomal RNA
Source: RNAcentral